GGGGAAUCUUGCGCAAUGGGCGGAAGCCUGACGCAGCGACGCCGCGUGGGGGAUGAAGGCCUUCGGGUUGUAAACCUCUUUCAGCAGGGACGAAGGUGACGUGUACCUGCAGAAGAAGCGCCGGCUAACUACGUGCCAGCAGCCGCGGUAAUACGUAGGGCGCGAGCGUUGUCCGGAAUUAUUGGGCGUAAAGAGCUCGUAGGCGGCUGGUCGCGUCUGCCGUGAAAGGCCUGGGCUUAACUCGGGUUUUGCGGUGGAUACGGGCCGGCUAGAGGUAGGUAGGGGAGAACGGAAUUCCUGGUGUAGCGGUGAAAUGCGCAGAUAUCAGGAGGAACACCGGUGGCGAAGGCGGUUCUCUGGGCCUAUCCUGACGCUGAGGAGCGAAAGCGUGGGGAGCGAAC
Molecule: ribosomal RNA, 401 nt
Filed under: uncultured bacterium
Lineage: Bacteria
Description: bacterial SSU rRNA
Rfam family: Bacterial small subunit ribosomal RNA
Source: RNAcentral